GGGGAUAUAGCUCAGUUGGUAGAGUGCUUGCCUCUCAUUCCCCAUGUCCUGGGUUCAAUUCCCAGUACCACCA
This 73-nucleotide transfer RNA is filed under the name Ictidomys tridecemlineatus (thirteen-lined ground squirrel). RNAcentral describes it as "Spermophilus tridecemlineatus (thirteen-lined ground squirrel) tRNA". It matches the Rfam family "tRNA". From Rfam's summary of the family: Transfer RNA (tRNA) molecules are approximately 80 nucleotides in length. Their secondary structure includes four short double-helical elements and three loops (D, anti-codon, and T loops). Lineage: Eukaryota; Metazoa; Chordata; Mammalia; Rodentia; Sciuridae. The record is from Rfam by way of RNAcentral. RNAcentral also lists the same sequence under 1 other name.